GAUGAACGCUAGCUACAGGCCUAACACAUGCAAGUCGAGGGGAAACGGCAUUUUAGCUUGCUAAGAUGGACGUCGACCGGCGAAUGGGUGAGUAACGCGUAUCCAACCUUCCGUUAAGUAGGGAAUAGCCUUGCGAAAGUAAGAUUAAUGCCCUAUGUGGUGUUUUGAGGACAUCUGAAGAGCACCAAAGGUUUACCGCUUAACGAUGGGGAUGCGUCUGAUUAGGUUGUUGGCGGGGCAACGGCCCACCAAGCCUACGAUCAGUAGGGGUUCUGAGAGGAAGGUCCCCCACAUUGGAACUGAGACACGGUCCAAACUCCUACGGGAGGCAGCAGUGAGGAAUAUUGGUCAAUGGGCGUAAGCCUGAACCAGCCAAGUAGCGUGCGGGAUGAAGGCCCUAUGGGUUGUAAACCGCUUUUUCAGGGGGAUAAAGUGAGUGACGUGUCAUUCAUUGCAGGUACCCUGCGAAUAAGGACCGGCUAAUUCCGUG
RNAcentral lists this ribosomal RNA (490 nucleotides) under uncultured bacterium. Its description in RNAcentral is "bacterial SSU rRNA". It matches the Rfam family "Bacterial small subunit ribosomal RNA", at positions 28 to 507 of the family's 1533-position model. The record is from RNAcentral.